GAACGCAUAUUGCGCUCUUUGGUAUUCCGAAGAGCAUGCUUGUUUGAGUAUCAGUAAACACCUCAAAACUCUUGAUCUUUUUCAAGCGUUUUGGACUUGAGCAAACCCAACGCCUUUUCUUUUAAGAUCUGUUGCGGCGGGUUGCUUGAAAUGCAGGUGCAGCUGGACAAUCUCCUGAGCUAAAAGCAUAUCUAUUUAGUCCUCGUCAAACAGGAUUAUUACUUUUGCUGCAGCUAACAUAAAGGAUAAUUGUCCUCUUUGCUGACUGAUGCAGGAUUUUACGACACUUUAUGUGUUGUUCAACUCGAUCUCAAAUCAAGUAAGACUACCCGCUGAACUUAAG
RNAcentral lists this unclassified non-coding RNA (343 nucleotides) under uncultured fungus. RNAcentral's name for it is "sequence contains 5.8S rRNA gene". The stretch from base 1 to 53 matches the Rfam family "5.8S ribosomal RNA", at positions 102 to 154 of the family's 154-position model. The record is from RNAcentral. Lineage: Eukaryota; Fungi.